This 305-nucleotide ribosomal RNA is filed under the name uncultured bacterium. RNAcentral's name for it is "bacterial SSU rRNA". It matches the Rfam family "Bacterial small subunit ribosomal RNA", at positions 337 to 634 of the family's 1533-position model. The record is from RNAcentral.
GCCUACGGGGGGCAGCAGUGGGGAAUAUUGCGCAAUGGGCGAAAGCCUGACGCAGCGACGCCGCGUGAGGGAUGAAGGUCUUCGGAUCGUAAACCUCUGUCAGCAGGGAAGAACGGUCACUGUGCUAAUCAGCAGUGAAUUGACGGUACCUGCAAAGGAAGCACCGGCUAACUCCGUGCCAGCAGCCGCGGUAAUACGGAGGGUGCGAGCGUUAAUCGGAAUUACUGGGCGUAAAGCGCUCAUAGGCGGUAUGUCAAGGCAAGGGUGAAAUCCCCGCGCCCAACGUGGGAACUGCCUUUGAAACU